GCGGGCGUGGCGGAAUGGUAGACGCAUGGGACUUAAACUCCCUGGGGCGAUGAGCCCGUGCCGGUUCAAGUCCGGCCGCCCGUA
Molecule: transfer RNA, 84 nt
Filed under: Aliiruegeria haliotis
Lineage: Bacteria; Pseudomonadati; Pseudomonadota; Alphaproteobacteria; Rhodobacterales; Roseobacteraceae
Rfam family: tRNA
About the family: Transfer RNA (tRNA) molecules are approximately 80 nucleotides in length. Their secondary structure includes four short double-helical elements and three loops (D, anti-codon, and T loops).
Source: Rfam by way of RNAcentral